RNAcentral lists this ribosomal RNA (860 nucleotides) under Staphylococcus sp. M_Sw_oHS_11/10_4_2(1). RNAcentral's name for it is "bacterial SSU rRNA". It matches the Rfam family "Bacterial small subunit ribosomal RNA", at positions 31 to 872 of the family's 1533-position model. Lineage: Bacteria; Bacillati; Bacillota; Bacilli; Caryophanales; Staphylococcaceae. The record is from RNAcentral.
GAACGCUGGCGGCGUGCCUAAUACAUGCAAGUCGAGCGAACAGACGAGGAGCUUGCUCCUCUGAUGUUAGCGGCGGACGGGUGAGUAACACGUGGAUAACCUACCUAUAAGACUGGGAUAACUUCGGGAAACCGGAGCUAAUACCGGAUAACAUGUUGAACCGCAUGGUUCAACAGUGAAAGACGGUCUUGCUGUCACUUAUAGAUGGAUCCGCGCCGCAUUAGCUAGUUGGUAAGGUAACGGCUUACCAAGGCAACGAUGCGUAGCCGACCUGAGAGGGUGAUCGGCCACACUGGAACUGAGACACGGUCCAGACUCCUACGGGAGGCAGCAGUAGGGAAUCUUCCGCAAUGGGCGAAAGCCUGACGGAGCAACGCCGCGUGAGUGAAGAAGGUCUUCGGAUCGUAAAACUCUGUUAUUAGGGAAGAACAAAUGUGUAAGUAACUAUGCACGUCUUGACGGUACCUAAUCAGAAAGCCACGGCUAACUACGUGCCAGCAGCCGCGGUAAUACGUAGGUGGCAAGCGUUAUCCGGAAUUAUUGGGCGUAAAGCGCGCGUAGGCGGUUUUUUAAGUCUGAUGUGAAAGCCCACGGCUCAACCGUGGAGGGUCAUUGGAAACUGGAAAACUUGAGUGCAGAAGAGGAAAGUGGAAUUCCAUGUGUAGCGGUGAAAUGCGCAGAGAUAUGGAGGAACACCAGUGGCGAAGGCGACUUUCUGGUCUGUAACUGACGCUGAUGUGCGAAAGCGUGGGGAUCAAACAGGAUUAGAUACCCUGGUAGUCCACGCCGUAAACGAUGAGUGCUAAGUGUUAGGGGGUUUCCGCCCCUUAGUGCUGCAGCUAACGCAUUAAGCACUCCGC